UGAGAACGACCGAUUGCUGUAAACCAGACGUCACUGCAACAACAGAGCACAGAGAUAAUCAUCAAUGAUGGCCACUUUCUUCACACUGUCUGUCUUUCUGUGCGUGGUUGCUAUGAGCCAUGCACAGUGUUAUUUUCAACCGAUAAUAAUCACAGACAUAUUUAAACCACCAACAGGUUGCACAGAUCUCCAAGGCAAAAUGCAUCCAUUCGGUUCCAACUGGAUGACAGAGGGCUGCUAUUCCUGUUCCUGCUCAGAGGAUGGCGCUAGCUGCUGUAACCAAAUCCCUCAGAUUGCAAAGAGCCCUUCUAAUUGCCGGGUGCUGGUGGACAAAAAGACGUGCACAUAUAAACUGAUGAUGAAAACAGAUACCUCUGUCACAUGCUCUGCCGUUGUUUAAAUCAGUUUCUGAAUGGGUCUUGGUAUGGAUUGUGUUCCUUUUCAGAUUUUGUGUCAAUUUUCAUGAUUUUAUUUGCAACACAACAGUGUUUUUGUUUUCUUAAUUAUUAAUGAAUGUGUGUUCUUUUAAAUAUAAGGGCCUACAUCAGGGCUAUUCAAUUAGAAUUUCAUCUGGGCCACAUUUCGAAACCAAGAACUGCAGUCGGGCCACACAUUUUCAGACAUCACGACCACUGAAAUGACACUUAAAAUCAGUAGUCCACAAACAAAUUUUAAACAUGUUCCUCUAACCUAAAACUUAACCACAUUGAAUGUGAAUGUAUAAGACAAGCAGAAGAUUCACAAGCAAAUAAUGUGUAGUACUGCAGUAACAAAACUGAAAUGUACACUGCUUCAGUUGGAGGCCAUGUCUGGGCCGCAUGUGGACUGCAUCUGGGCCGCAUGUGGCCCUCGGGCCUUCAAUUGAAUAGCCCUGGCCUACAUUAACAUGAGCCCCUAUAUGUGUUUACCCCCUCAACACAGAGCAUAUAGUUAUAACCCUACUGUCACCAAAAUUGUAAUGGCUAUGUUGUAAUAUGUAAUUGUAUCAGAUGCACUGAAAAGGAAAAGGAAAAUGGCACAGAACAAUUUUCCGAAAGGACAAAUAAACUAUCUAUCUAUCUAUCUAUCUAUCUAUCUAUCUAUCUAUCUAUCUAUCUAUCUAUCUAUCUAUCUAUCUAUCUAUCUAUCUAUCUAUUACUUAAGGCUCUUGGUACUGUCAUAGCAAUGUAGUUAUGAUGUAGUUGAGUUCAGUAAAUAGUGAAUAAGUCCGCUGGCGACCUCAUCUGCAGUAAGAGACUACAGUUUACAUUUGUGUGAAAACCAUCAGGAACUCAAAUGACUAUCACCAGAAAACAAAUCCACCAAAAAAAUCCAUGACGUGGAAAUUGUUGAAACAUUUGGUUACCCAUCUAGGCCUACAGAAAGGAGACAUUAUGUAAUUAUAGCCCAAUCUCCAUGUCUAUAUGUAAAUGCUCAGCUGUUAGAGUCCUUUGCAAAUGUACAAAUUCUUUCUUUUUUCUAUUGUCCAAUAAAAUUUCAAAUCCAUGGGCCUAGUAGUCUAACUGGUCCA
Long non-coding RNA from Engraulis encrasicolus (European anchovy), 1510 nucleotides. RefSeq lists it as uncharacterized. Lineage: Eukaryota; Metazoa; Chordata; Actinopteri; Clupeiformes; Engraulidae. The record is from RefSeq and is a predicted model, not a curated record. The transcript is spliced from 4 exons.